RNAcentral lists this microRNA (21 nucleotides) under Panagrellus redivivus. Its description in RNAcentral is "prd-miR-7918f-3p". The record is from miRBase by way of RNAcentral. Lineage: Eukaryota; Metazoa; Nematoda; Chromadorea; Rhabditida; Panagrolaimidae.
GCAAGUUUCAGAGCUUUUUGA